RNAcentral lists this ribosomal RNA (1104 nucleotides) under symbiont of Tetraneura ulmi. Its description in RNAcentral is "bacterial SSU rRNA". It matches the Rfam family "Bacterial small subunit ribosomal RNA", at positions 315 to 1412 of the family's 1533-position model. Lineage: Bacteria; Pseudomonadati; Pseudomonadota; Gammaproteobacteria; Enterobacterales; Enterobacteriaceae. The record is from RNAcentral.
GGAACUGAGAGACGGUCCAGACUCCUACGGGAGGCANCAGUGGGGGAUAUUGCACAAUGGGCGGAAGCCUGAUGCAGCCAUGCCGCGUGUGUGAAGAAGGCCUUCGGGUUGUAAAGCACUUUCAGCUUGGAGGAAAGCUGUGGAGUGAAUAGCGCUACAGUGUGACGUUACAGGCAGAAGAAGCACCGGCAAACUCCGCGCCAGCAGCCGCGGUAAUACGGAGGGUGCGAGCGUUAAUCGGAAUAACUGGGCGUAAAGGGCGCGUAGGCGGUAGAGUAAGUCAGGUGUGAAAUCCCCGAGCUUAACUUGGGAAGGGCAUUUGAAACUGCGUUACUAGAGUGUUGUAGAGGGGGGUAGAAUUUCAGGUGUAGCGGUGAAAUGCGUAGAGAUCUGAAGGAAUACCGGAGGCGAAGGCGUCCCCCUGGACAAAGACUGACGCUGAAGUGCGAAAGCGUGGGUAGCGAACAGGAUUAGAUACCCUGGUAGUCCACGCUGUAAACGAUGUCGAUUAGGGGGUUGUGGCGUAAGCUAUGGUUCCCGCCGCUAACGCAUUAAAUCGACCGCCUGGGGAGUACGGCCGCAAGGUUAAAACUCAAAUGAAUUGACGGGGGCCCGCACAAGCGGUGGAGCAUGUGGUUUAAUUCGAUGCAACGCGAAGAACCUUACCUACUCUUGACAUCCACGGAAUUGUGCAGAGAUGCACAAGUGCCUUUAGGAGCCGUGAGACAGGUGCUGCAUGGCUGUCGUCAGCUCGUGUUGUGAAAUGUUGGGUUAAGUCCCGCAACGAGCGCAACCCUUAUUCUUUGUUGCCAGCACGUAGAGGUGGGAACUCAAAGGAGACUACCGUUGAUAAAGCGGAGGAAGGUGGGGACGACGUCAAGUCAUCAUGGCCCAUACGAGUAGGGCUACACACGUGCUACAAUGGCGGAGACAAAGUGAGGCGAGCCUGCGAAGGUGAGCGGAACACAGAAACUCGGUCGUAGUCCGGAUUGGAGUCUGCAACUCGACUCCAUGAAGUUGGAAUCGCUAGUAAUCGUAGAUCAGCAUGCUACGGUGAAUACGUUCCCGGGCCUUGUACACACCGCCCGUCACACCAUGGGAGUG